CAGCAAUGAAUAUUUUCUGGCGAAAGAUCUCAUCAAAGUUUUACAGUCUGGAAGAAGAAAAGAAGGCUAGACAUCCUAAACAAUGAAGACAGAAGGAUUUACCAUAUAAGAUGAAUAAAGAAAAAGUAAGACCAGUAAACCAAAACAGGACCAAAUAGGCCAUGACUGAAGUUCAAGUGCACUCUGCAAGAAAGUGGACAGCCUAGAUUUUGUUCUUUUCAAGGUUGAGAAGGGAUGCCAUAUUUUAGGUUUGAAACCAGGCAAGUGAAAGCUGAAUUCCAACCUACUUCAACAUACUUGUACCCACUGUCUUCAAGAUAUCAGUGUUUGAGAUGUCAAAGUUCAAAUAUAAUAGGAACAUGUUUAUCAUAUUAUGUGAUGGCAUCCUCAAAUCUUAUGCUGUAUAACAAUAUGUUUUAGAACUUAUCAAGCUUUAUCCUGUACCUUG
This is a long non-coding RNA of Saccostrea cuccullata (small rock oyster), 448 nucleotides long. RefSeq lists it as uncharacterized. The transcript is spliced from 3 exons. NCBI's taxonomy places the organism in Eukaryota, Metazoa, Mollusca, Bivalvia, Ostreida, Ostreidae. The record is from RefSeq and is a predicted model, not a curated record.